GUGUCAGCAGCCGCGGUAAUACGAAGGGGGCUAGCGUUGUUCGGAAUUACUGGGCGUAAAGCGCACGCAGGCGGUUCGAUUAGUCAGAAGUGAAAGCCCCGGGCUCAACCUGGGAACUGCUUUUGAUACUGUCGAGCUUGAAUCACGGAGAGGGUAGUGGAAUUCCGAGUGUAGAGGUGAAAUUCGUAGAUAUUCGGAAGAACACCAGUGGCGAAGGCGACUACCUGGCCGUCGAUUGACGCUCAUGUGCGAAAGCGUGGGGAGCAAACAGGAUUAGAAACCCCGGUAGUCC
RNAcentral lists this ribosomal RNA (292 nucleotides) under uncultured bacterium. RNAcentral describes it as "partial 16S ribosomal RNA". It matches the Rfam family "Bacterial small subunit ribosomal RNA", at positions 505 to 796 of the family's 1533-position model. The record is from RNAcentral.